GGCGGUGUAGCUCAGGGGUAGAGCAGUGGUUUCAUAAGCCGCGAGUCGGUGGUUCGAACCCACCCACCGCCACCA
This 75-nucleotide transfer RNA is filed under the name Myxococcales bacterium. RNAcentral describes it as "tRNA-Met". It matches the Rfam family "tRNA". Rfam says of the family: Transfer RNA (tRNA) molecules are approximately 80 nucleotides in length. Their secondary structure includes four short double-helical elements and three loops (D, anti-codon, and T loops). The record is from RNAcentral. Lineage: Bacteria; Pseudomonadati; Myxococcota; Myxococcia; Myxococcales.